This 253-nucleotide ribosomal RNA is filed under the name uncultured bacterium. RNAcentral describes it as "partial 16S ribosomal RNA". It matches the Rfam family "Bacterial small subunit ribosomal RNA", at positions 524 to 776 of the family's 1533-position model. The record is from RNAcentral.
UACGUAGGGUGCGAGCGUUGUUCGGAAUCAUUGGGCGUAAAGCGCGUGUAGGCGGUUUGUUAAGUCUGGUGUGAAAGCCCGGGGCCUAACCCCGGAAGUGCACUGGAUACUGGCAAACUAGAGGGUGAGAGAGGAAAGUGGAAUUCCUGGUGUAGGGGUGAAAUCCGUAGAUAUCAGGAGGGACAUCGGUUGCGAAGGCGGCUUUCUGGCUCAUUUCUGACGCUGAGACGCGAAAGCGUGGGGAGCAAACAGG